RNAcentral lists this ribosomal RNA (795 nucleotides) under uncultured bacterium. Its description in RNAcentral is "bacterial SSU rRNA". It matches the Rfam family "Bacterial small subunit ribosomal RNA", at positions 59 to 860 of the family's 1533-position model. The record is from RNAcentral.
CAGUCGAGGGGUAUUUAUCUUCGGAUAGAGAGACCGGCGCACGGGUGCGUAACGCGUAUGCAAUCUACCUUUUGCAGAGGGAUAGCCCAGAGAAAUUUGGAUUAAUACCUCAUAGUAUAUAGAGUUGGCAUCAACACAAUAUUAAAGUCACAACGGCAAAAGAUGAGCAUGCGUCCCAUUAGCUAGUUGGUAAGGUAACGGCUUACCAAGGCUACGAUGGGUAGGGGUCCUGAGAGGGAGAUCCCCCACACUGGUACUGAGACACGGACCAGACUCCUACGGGAGGCAGCAGUGAGGAAUAUUGGACAAUGGGCGCAAGCCUGAUCCAGCCAUGCCGCGUGCAGGAUGACGGUCCUAUGGAUUGUAAACUGCUUUUGCACAGGAAGAAACAACGCUACGUGUAGCGCCUUGACGGUACUGUGAGAAUAAGGAUCGGCUAACUCCGUGCCAGCAGCCGCGGUAAUACGGAGGAUCCAAGCGUUAUCCGGAAUCAUUGGGUUUAAAGGGUCCGUAGGCGGUUUAGUAAGUCAGUGGUGAAAGCCCAUCGCUCAACGGUGGAACGGCCAUUGAUACUGCUAGACUUGAAUUAUUAGGAAGUAACUAGAAUAUGUAGUGUAGCGGUGAAAUGCUUAGAGAUUACAUGGAAUACCAAUUGCGAAGGCAGGUUACUACUAAUGGAUUGACGCUGAUGGACGAAAGCGUGGGUAGCGAACAGGAUUAGAUACCCUGGUAGUCCACGCCGUAAACGAUGGAUACUAGCUGUUGGGAGCGAUCUCAGUGGCUAAGCGAAAGUGA